RNAcentral lists this ribosomal RNA (253 nucleotides) under uncultured bacterium. RNAcentral's name for it is "partial 16S ribosomal RNA". It matches the Rfam family "Bacterial small subunit ribosomal RNA", at positions 524 to 776 of the family's 1533-position model. The record is from RNAcentral.
UACGGGGGGGGCAAGCGUUGUUCGGAAUUACUGGGCGUAAAGGGCUCGUAGGCGGCCAACUAAGUCAGACGUGAAAUCCCCAGGCUCAACCUGGGAACUGCGUCUGAUACUGGAUGGCUUGAAUUCGGGAGAGGGAUGCAGAAUUCCAGGUGUAGCGGUGAAAUGCGUAGAGAUGUGGAGGAACACCAGUGGCGAAGGCGACUCUCUGGUCUGUAACUGACGCUGAGGCGCGAAAGCGUGGGGAGCAAACAGG